GGAAGAGUAUGAUAUAAGUAAAAAUUUUAAUUAGUUGUGUUUUCCAUGUCGACAUCUAUGUAUUAUAGAGCAGCCACGUCUAUAAGGGUUGGCAGGAAUAGGUUUUGUGUCAUUAUUUUCAUUGAAAAGUUUGCGUCCGAUCAGCGCAUACAUGUUGUUGUGUAUGUUUUCUUGAUCAUCUAGUUUGCCAUGGUUGAAUGCAAGCAUGCUAAGGAGAAGAAAACAAAAGAACCAAAUCUUCAUGUUGGAAUUUGGUUGUGCCAUGAAACCUCAAAUGCCGUCUUUGAUUCUUUAAGACAGGAAUAUUGUUG
RNAcentral lists this long non-coding RNA (311 nucleotides) under Glycine max (soybean). RNAcentral describes it as "long non-coding RNA (GMAX_LNC000589)". The record is from RNAcentral. Lineage: Eukaryota; Viridiplantae; Streptophyta; Magnoliopsida; Fabales; Fabaceae.